RNAcentral lists this ribosomal RNA (316 nucleotides) under Vibrio cholerae. Its description in RNAcentral is "partial 23S ribosomal RNA". It matches the Rfam family "Bacterial large subunit ribosomal RNA", at positions 560 to 878 of the family's 2925-position model. Lineage: Bacteria; Pseudomonadati; Pseudomonadota; Gammaproteobacteria; Vibrionales; Vibrionaceae. The record is from RNAcentral.
GUGCCUACAAGUAGUCAGAGCCCGUUAACGGGUGAUGGCGUGCCUUUUGUAGAAUGAACCGGCGAGUUACGAUCCCGUGCGAGGUUAAGCUGAAGAGGCGGAGCCGCAGCGAAAGCGAGUCUGAAUAGGGCGUUUAGUACGUGGUCGUAGACCCGAAACCAGGUGAUCUACCCAUGUCCAGGGUGAAGUUCAGGUAACACUGAAUGGAGGCCCGAACCCACGCACGUUGAAAAGUGCGGGGAUGAGGUGUGGGUAGCGGAGAAAUUCCAAUCGAACCUGGAGAUAGCUGGUUCUCUCCGAAAUAGCUUUAGGGCUA